UGAGUCCACUUAGGGAGACUCAGGGUCGUAGUCUCAGACAUUAUGGAGGUCAGGAAGGAAAGCCGGGGAGAGGGAUCCUUCCAAUGGGAACCCAGCCUCCCCUUCCCCAGGCUUGGCCACAGGCGCCCCUUUGUCUGGUCUGGGGUGGCCAUUCUUGGCUUCAUCUGGAGCAUUGCCAGGGGCUGUCGUGUUGGUUGUGGGACAGGGCUCUGUCCUGUUCCAAGGCACCUGCUCUCCGGGACGGGUGCCCCCAGGCUGUGUGGACUCCUGGAGUUACUUAGGACUUCUGCUUGCACUCGGACUUCCAGGCCACAGUGGUCUGGCUUCUGAAGGGUCAGGCUGGAAUGCGGGGUCUGUGGGAGGCCAGCAGAGGGUUCCAUGAGAAGAGCCAGGACAGGGGCAUAGACAGUCAGCUUCCAUGUGAUACCUGGGUCUCUGGGUGGCUGCGAGCAAUGCGAGCUGGGCGCCUAGGGUUUUUGUGGGGUGAGGAUGCACAUUCUGCCAUUGUGAUUACUACGGUAUGGAUAUCUGGGGCCAAGGGACCGAGGUCACCGUCUCCUCAGGGACUGCGUCCGCCCCAGCCCUCUACCCCCUCGUCUCCUGUGAGAAUGGCCCGUUGGAUACAAGCACAGUGUCCGUUGGCUGCCUGGCGCGGGACUUCCUGCCCGACUCCAUCACUUUCUCCUGGAAAUACCAGAACAACUCUGACAUCAGCAGCAUCCAAGGCUUCAGGUCACAGCUGAGAGAGGGCAAGUACAUGGCCACCUCGCAGGUGCUGCUGCCUUCCAGAGACCUCAUGCAGGGCAGGGACGACCACGUGGUGUGCAAAGUCCAGCACCCCAAAGGCAACCAGGAAAAGAAUGUGCCUCUUCCAGUGUUCCAGGAGCUGCCGCCCAGCGUCAGUGUCUUCAUCCCGCCCCGCGACGCCUUCGCCGGCAACCCCCGCACGUCCAAGCUCAUCUGCCAGGCCACGGGCUUCAGCCCCCGGCAGAUCAAGGUGUCCUGGCUGCAGGAUGGGAAAAAGCUGGAGUCUGGCUUCACCACCAGCCAGGUGGAGGCUGAGGCCAAAGAGUCUGGGCCCACGACCUUCAAGGUGACCAGCACACUGACCAUCGCCGAGAAAGACUGGCUCAGCCAGAGCGUGUUCACCUGCCGCGUGGAUCACAGCGGCCUGGCCUUCCAGAAGAACGUGUCCUCCACAUGCAGCAUCAAUCCAGCCACAGGCAUCCGGGUCUUUGCCAUCCCUCCAUCCUUUGCCAGCAUUUUCCUCACCAAGUCCACAAGGUUGACCUGCCUGGUCACAGACCUGGCCACCUAUGACAGCGUGACCAUCUCCUGGACCCGCCAGAACGGCGAAGUUCUGAAGACCCACACCAACAUCUCCGAGAGCCACCCCAAUGCCACCUUCAGUGCCACAGGUGUGGCCAGCAUCUGUGAGGACGACUGGAACUCCGGGGAGAGGUUCACCUGCACCGUGACACACACGGACCUGCCCUCGCCGCUGAAGCAGAGCAUCUCCAGGCCCAAGGGGGCAGCCCUGCACAGGCCCGAAGUCUAUUUGCUGCCACCAGCCCGGGAGCAGCUGAGCCUGCGGGAGUCGGCAACCGUCACCUGCCUGGCAACCGGCUUCUCUCCCGCGGACAUCUUCGUGCAGUGGAUGCAGAGGGGACAGCCUCUGCCCCAGGAGAAGUAUGUGACCAGUGCCCCAGUGCCCGAGCCCCAAGCCCCGGGCCUGUACUUCGCCUACAGCACCCUGACAGUGUCCGAGGAGGACUGGAGCGCAGGGGAGAGCUACACCUGUGUCGUGGGCCACGAGGCCCUGCCCAACAGGGUCACCGAGAGGACCGUGGACAAGUCCACCGAGGGGGAGGUGAGCGCCGACGAGGAGGGCUUUGAGAACCUGUGGGCCACCGCCUCCACCUUCAUCGUCCUCUUCCUCCUGAGCCUCUUCUACAGUACAACCGUCACCCUGUUCAAGGUCAAAUGAUCCCAACUGAAGAACGAAGACCAGAGAGGAACUCAAGGGGCGCUGCUCCAGGCCUGGGGUCCCUGUCCUCAUGGCCCUUGGCGCGUGUUUCUCUUCCCGCCUGGCCUCCAGCUGUGUGCUCCAACACAGGCUUCCUUCUAGACGGGCAGGGGCUGGCUGGCGAGCAGGCCACCACGUUGGCUCUACCCACGCUGCUUUGCUGUGUAUAGGCUUGUUGCCCUGAAAUAAACAUGCACAUUUUAUCCAUGAAA
Saimiri boliviensis boliviensis (Bolivian squirrel monkey) is the source of this 2238-nucleotide non-coding RNA. The record is from the annotation of a RefSeq genome assembly. NCBI's taxonomy places the organism in Eukaryota, Metazoa, Chordata, Mammalia, Primates, Cebidae.